This 201-nucleotide long non-coding RNA is filed under the name Gallus gallus (chicken). The record is from RNAcentral. Lineage: Eukaryota; Metazoa; Chordata; Aves; Galliformes; Phasianidae.
GGUUAGGAUACUGCUGGAGAUAAUGAUCAACAGCCAGAAAUCCAUGUGGAAGAACUGACAAAUCAUGUAGGCCAUGUACGCAGGGAACACAAGUAAGAACAAACAGAGGCUGACUGCUCGGAAGUGCUUCCACAGACUCUUGUCUCUUGAGGCUCCCAGUGCCAGGACAAUGGGAUCAGCAAUUUCCAGCAUGGACUGUAG